GACGAACGCUGGCGGCGUGCUUAACACAUGCAAGUCGAGCGGAAAGGCCCUUCGGGGUACUCGAGCGGCGAACGGGUGAGUAACACGUGAGUAACCUGCCCCAGACUUUGGGAUAACCCUCGGAAACGGGGGCUAAUACCGGAUACGACACAGCUUCGCAUGGAGUCUGUGUGGAAAGUUUUUCGGUUUGGGAUGGGCUCGCGGCCUAUCAGCUUGUUGGUGGGGUGAUGGCCUACCAAGGCGACGACGGGUAGCCGGCCUGAGAGGGCGACCGGCCACACUGGGACUGAGACACGGCCCAGACUCCUACGGGAGGCAGCAGUGGGGAAUAUUGCACAAUGGGCGGAAGCCUGAUGCAGCGACGCCGCGUGAGGGAUGACGGCCUUCGGGUUGUAAACCUCUUUCAGCAGGGACGAAGCGUAAGUGACGGUACCUGCAGAAGAAGCGCCGGCCAACUACGUG
Molecule: ribosomal RNA, 462 nt
Filed under: uncultured bacterium
Lineage: Bacteria
Description: partial 16S ribosomal RNA
Rfam family: Bacterial small subunit ribosomal RNA
Source: RNAcentral